RNAcentral lists this ribosomal RNA (497 nucleotides) under uncultured bacterium. RNAcentral describes it as "partial 16S ribosomal RNA". It matches the Rfam family "Bacterial small subunit ribosomal RNA", at positions 28 to 507 of the family's 1533-position model. The record is from RNAcentral.
GAUGAACGCUGGCGGCGUGCCUAAUACAUGCAAGUCGAGCGAACAGAUGAGGAGCUUGCUCCUUUGAAGUUAGCGGCGGACGGGUGAGUAACACGUGGGUAACCUACCUAUAAGACUGGGAUAACUUCGGGAAACCGGAGCUAAUACCGGAUAACAUUUAGAACCGCAUGGUUCUAAAGUGAAAGAUGGUUUUGCUAUCACUUAUAGAUGGACCCGCGCCGUAUUAGCUAGUUGGUAAGGUAACGGCUUACCAAGGCGACGAUACGUAGCCGACCUGAGAGGGUGAUCGGCCACACUGGAACUGAGACACGGUCCAGACUCCUACGGGAGGCAGCAGUAGGGAAUCUUCCGCAAUGGGCGAAAGCCUGACGGAGCAACGCCGCGUGAGUGAUGAAGGGUUUCGGCUCGUAAAACUCUGUUAUUAGGGAAGAACAAAUGUGUAAGUAACUGUGCACAUCUUGACGGUACCUAAUCAGAAAGCCACGGCUAACUACGUG